This 108-nucleotide non-coding RNA is filed under the name Bacillus sp. (in: firmicutes). RNAcentral describes it as "Bacillus sp. SAM-I sequence". It matches the Rfam family "SAM riboswitch aptamer (S box leader)". From Rfam's summary of the family: The SAM riboswitch is found upstream of a number of genes which code for proteins involved in methionine or cysteine biosynthesis in Gram-positive bacteria. The SAM riboswitch acts at the level of transcription termination control. Lineage: Bacteria; Bacillati; Bacillota; Bacilli; Caryophanales; Bacillaceae. The record is from RNAcentral. RNAcentral also lists the same sequence under 1 other name.
CUCUUAUCAAGAGUGGCAGAGGGACUGGCCCGAUGACGCCCAGCAACCGUUCCGAAUGGAAUUGGUGCUAAAUCCUGCAAAACAAGCAAUUGUUUUGGAAGAUAAGAG